CACAGGCCACUACUUCAUUUACAUAAGGUGUAAACCAAGUAACCAAUUGGAAACCUCUAGACGGUAUUUAAACUCCAGAAAAUUCUAUAACCAGCCUCUUGAGCUGCUUGCUUGGCCCACUCUCACUCUGUGGAGUGUACAUUUGUUUCCAUAAAUCUGUGCUUUUUUUUUCAUUGUUUUGUUUGUGCAUUUCAUCCAAUUGUUUGUUCAAAAUGCCAAGAAUCUGGACACCCUCCACCAGUAACAGGCAUUGGGAAGGGGAAGGCAGAAAAGCGGAGUGCAAAAUGAAGUGGUAGUGGGUGCUAACUAACAAGAGAACCUUUGAACACGAUGGGACAGAAAUAAGGUCAUGCAUUUUCUACUAUCUGUCACCUGUGGACAACUUGCCACUUCAACAGUUCUGGACACUUUUAAGCUCCCCCGAGGAGAAGAUAGGAAACUUGGACACCCUGUGUGGGAUUGAGAAUCACAAAGGGGCAGUCUCGCACCUGGUCAAGAUAAAGCUGAACUGAACUCUUCAUUCACAAGUGGGAUUCUCGUAAGAGGCAGGAAAGCAGGGACCGUCUGUCACUACAGACAGCAAGAAGAGGUGAACCUUAAUGAGGGAAGAAAACAGAUUCUAUUAGGGGAAAAAAACAUUUAAUCAGAAAAUAAGGCUCUGGAAAGAAAAGGCCAAUUGGGGCUUUGUCUGAAGAAAUAACAGAGUAUUUUUCUGCCAGAGAAAGCAAGUCCAAGGGAGGAAUUUUCAGAUUGACCAAAGAGUAUUGGUCUACAUCAUUAGUACUUUCAGUGAGAAAUAACUGAAAAUAAACUAGAGCAAAAGUUCCCCAGGUGUGGUUCCAGGACCAGCAACUGAAACAUCACCUGGGAACUGUUAAAAAUGCAAAUUCUUGGGCUCUCCGCCAGAAUCACUGAAUCAGAAACUCUGAAAUGGGACCCAAUAAUCAGCAGCUUAACAAGCUCUCCAGGCAAGAAGAGAAUAGAGGCAAAGCAAGCCACUCCAGAAGUCCUCUAGCCAGCUUUGUCUUUAGUUUGAUGGCCAGAGCUAAACACUGUGCUGGUUAUCCCCAUCCAUAACUCCUCCCAAAGGGCCCAAUAGCCUGCCUUCCAGCAGAGCUAAUAAUCCAUGGUUUAAGUUAUGCAUUCGGACUGUAAGAAAUCUGAAUAAAACGUCAUUCUCCCUUUUAUCCAACUGGCAAAAUGCAUACUCUUCCUCUAAACUCAAUUGAAUGGAGUUCUUUGAGAAGACUUCCUGAUAACAUGCUAGGAAAUCCAAGCCAAAAGCUCCUUUUGGAGACAAGAAUAUUCUGACAGCACCUCCUACGAUGUGACAGAGUCAAAGAAGAAAAUAUACAAGAGAACUCUGCUAUAGAAAAUUACAAAUUCAAACCAUGGGAAAAUGGGGAAUAGAAAAAUUAUCUCUUUAGACAGAGAAAAGAUUAUAAAUACUGAAAAUUGUCAUUUCUAUAAAUGUCAUUGCUCUUCUGUUUUACAUUGUGUAAAUAUUUGGAAGAAAAUGGCACAAUUUUCUUUCAAAAAAAGGGAAACAUUCAAAAUAUUUAAAUUAUAUAUAUUAUAUAUGUAACAUGAUCAGCAAGUCUGGAAACAUAACGAAGUUUUAUAGUAUUGAUUUAUUCCUAUCACUCUGAGAUAUGGUGACAUUACAUGAUAUGUUCAACGUGUUGUUCCUCAUUAGCAAUGUGUUAUGCAUAAUGGGGACCAACAUGGGACAUUAAUACAACAUUUCUAUCAGUGCCUGCACAUGCUUCUGUGAUACGUUGCCUCCAAUGAUUUUUGUCUCUAAUUUUCAGAAUAUAAACCUGCUCCAUUAGCAUUUUCUGGAAGAAGCAAUCAAAUGGGUUAAUCUGUGAAAGUAAAUGUUAUCUAUAUUUCCCAACAUUAUGGCCAUCCUGUAUUAACGUAUAUUAUGUAUAUUCUGAACUGCUCCAUAAUUGGAAUAGUCAUUCCUUAUCAAUAAUUUACUUGAUAUCAUGGAUAUGUGUCUUUUAGUUAAUGAUCCCUUUGCCAACUAGCCUAGUUUAUAGGCAGUGACUAUAUCAUACUCAUUUUGAAUUCCCAAUACUUACCACAGCUUCCUAUACAUGGUAGUUGUUUAAUAAAUAAUUCUUGAAUAAAAAUAAACUUUAAAUAUUUCCUUAUUAUUUAGCUUUCGAGUACAUCUUGGAUAUUUGACACUUAAGCACAUACCACCCAGAUCCUUAUUUCCUCUGAUGGUUUUAUCAUAAUAAUUGCUCUGAGAGAUUUUUCCAGUGAAGUCUUAGAGUUACCACAUCUCUGCUUAUGCUUUCCACCACUGAAAGAUAGCUUUCUCCAGAUUCUUCUUCUUUUUUUAAAUGCUCACUUCUCUUCUAAGAUAUCUGGACCGAAUGGGUUUCAUUUUGUAUUGCUUUCACGACAAAAGCCAAACUACUAAGUGAGGAAAUAAACUGUUCAAAGUUUAUACAAAUUGUGAACGAGUGUAUGAAAAAAAUAUUUUUCAGUGGAAUUCAAAUGACAAACAUUUACUUAAUGUAAUCCAAAGUGACAUAAUAAAAGACAAAGAGUUUCAUA
This 2571-nucleotide long non-coding RNA is filed under the name Homo sapiens (human). Its description in RNAcentral is "HSALNT0366738". Lineage: Eukaryota; Metazoa; Chordata; Mammalia; Primates; Hominidae. The record is from RNAcentral.